Molecule: long non-coding RNA, 375 nt
Filed under: Physcomitrium patens
Lineage: Eukaryota; Viridiplantae; Streptophyta; Bryopsida; Funariales; Funariaceae
Description: long non-coding RNA (PPAT_LNC007289)
Source: RNAcentral
UAAUCCCAUUAUGCUUGUCGUUUACUAAUGUGGAAUAGUUGUUUGGUAAUGGUCUAGAAUUGUUUGACUCAACUUUGAGUCAAGUCACGUGGUAUUGAUGCUGAACAAACUAUUGAUAUUUUAUCUUUUUUAUUGUCUAAGAUAGCCUUAAUUAAGCUCCAUUGUACCUCCUAAUGAUAUUGCUUGGAUGUUGGCUUGGAGUGAUGGCUAUGUCAAGUACUAUGCUUUGAUCGACUAUAUCUUAGCUAUCCAAUUUUUGGAUUAUUUUUUUUCUUAGAUCCUUGCCUUAAACAACUUGGUUCAUCCUUGUCUUGUUCAACUUGGCUCAUCCUUGUCAUAUACUAGCUUAUUCUAAUAGAACAAUUUCUACAAAAU